Molecule: long non-coding RNA, 985 nt
Organism: Cyprinus carpio carpio
Lineage: Eukaryota; Metazoa; Chordata; Actinopteri; Cypriniformes; Cyprinidae
Source: Ensembl
AUGAUCUUGUAUCUCGGCGCAGUGGCCCUCGGGGAAGUCGACUGUAAUUGGACGAACUCAUCACCUAAUGUGCCGGCAGCGAGGAGCUCCGCCCUUCAUCAUCACAAUGACCUUCAUCUGCCUCCUCGUCUUCACAACAAGACACAGAUCUCAGAAACAGUCAAAGCACCAAACCUAAAGCACAAAAGUCCAAAAGUGUGGACGGCAGUCGACUCCUACACGCAGAGUGAAGCUGAUGCUGUCGGUGAUAAUCGAGGUGGCUGGAAUCCCGUCCAACAUUCAGGUGUCCUCACGCAUCCCCUGCAAACCGGGAGCAGGUUAUGGGAAUAUGUGUUCUGGGAAAUGAGGAACGGCGCUGCGUUGGUGGUCUCGAGGGGCGAUGGCCGGCUGGCCUCGGGCUGAAUACUCACACUGCUGUGACGGCUCAGAUCCAUCUUAAUGCUGAAGCGGUCAGGCUUUGAUGGCCUCUCUGUCACGCCGUGUUUGCGCCAGCAUCUGCAUUCCAGCGGCAGACGGACGGGUGGAGGACGGACGGACGGUCCUCCUCCACCGUCUGUCAGCGUCACCGAUCUGUUUGAAUAUGCUGCUUGAUCCGUCACUGUCAGGCCGCUCGCGCUUCUGCAUGCGCCGUACGCUCCUCUGCUGGGAAGCUGCACGCGCUGAUUUAAUGCACACUACGCAUCAGGUUGUCAGAGAGCGUCUGGGAAGGACGGGCCGUGUCGUCUGUCCUCCUGAUGGGAAUGAUGAACCCAUAGUUCACAACACCACCAACUCGUUUCUAAAACCUUGAUGUGCACUAUCUUGCACACCAGUUUAAUGCAGAGACUAUAGGACAGCCAUUCAUAGACUGAUUCCCGUGAAGUGGACUGAUGCUGCUCCACCAUUUAAAACUGAUACCAAAGCUGAUCAAACAAAUAUAUUUAUGUGAGGAUUUUAUUAUAUUUUACUUACAUUAUUUCACUUUACUUCACUUGACUAUCCAAAA